AGAGUUUGAUCCUGGCUCAGAAUGAACGCUGCGGCAGCUUACACAUGCAAGUCGAGCGGAGAUGAGGUGCUUGCACUAUCUUAGCGGCGGACGGUGAGUAAUGCUUAGGAAUCUGCCUAUUAGUGGGGGACAACAUUCCGAAAGGAAUGCUAAUACCGCAUACGUCCUACGGGAGAAAGCAGGGGAUCUUCGGACCUUGCGCUAAUAGAUGAGCCUAAGUCGGAUUAGUUAGUUGGUGGGGUAAAGGCCUACCAAGGCGACGAUCUGUAGCGGGUCUGAGAGGAUGAUCCGCCACACUGGGACUGAGACACGGCCCAGACUCCUACGGGAGGCAGCAGUGGGGAAUAUUGGACAAUGGGGGAAACCCUGAUCCAGCCAUGCCGCGUGUGUGAAGAAGGCCUUAUGGUUGUAAAGCACUUUAAGCGAGGAGGAGGCUACUGAGACUAAUACUCUUGGAUAGUGGACGUUACUCGCAGAAUAAGCACCGGCUAACUCUGUGCCAGCAGCCGCGGUAAUACAGAGGGUGCGAGCGUUAAUCGGAUUUACUGGGCGUAAAGCGUGCGUAGGCGGCUUUUUAAGUCGGAUGUGAAAUCCCCGAGCUUAACUUGGGAAUUGCAUUCGAUACUGGGAAGCUAGAGUAUGGGAGAGGAUGGUAGAAUUCCAGGUGUAGCGGUGAAAUGCGUAGAGAUCUGGAGGAAUACCGAUGGCGAAGGCAGCCAUCUGGCCUAAUACUGACGCUGAGGUACGAAAGCAUGGGGAGCAAACAGGAUUAGAUACCCUGGUAGUCCAUGCCGUAAACGAUGUCUACUAGCCGUUGGGGCCUUUGAGGCUUUAGUGGCGCAGCUAACGCGAUAAGUAGACCGCCUGGGGAGUACGGUCGCAAGACUAAAACUCAAAGGAAUUGACGG
This 908-nucleotide ribosomal RNA is filed under the name uncultured bacterium. RNAcentral's name for it is "bacterial SSU rRNA". It matches the Rfam family "Bacterial small subunit ribosomal RNA", at positions 8 to 916 of the family's 1533-position model. The record is from RNAcentral.